GUCCACGCCCUAAACGAUGCCUGCUAGCUGUUUCGAGUAUCGACCCUCGGAGUGGCGUAGCUAACGCGUUAAGCAGGCCGCCUGGGAAGUACGAGCGCAAGCUUAAAACUCAAAGGAAUAGACGGGGACUCGCACAAGCGGUGGAACAUGAGGUUUAAUUCGACGGUAAGCGAGAAACCUUACCAGGGCUUGAAAUUCUGACUGAAAGCCGGCCGAAAAGGUUGGCCCUCUCUCAAGGACAGUCAGUCCAGGUGCUGCACGGUUGUCGU
RNAcentral lists this ribosomal RNA (269 nucleotides) under uncultured bacterium. RNAcentral's name for it is "partial 16S ribosomal RNA". It matches the Rfam family "Bacterial small subunit ribosomal RNA", at positions 793 to 1055 of the family's 1533-position model. The record is from RNAcentral.